AUAAGAAUACGUCGAGCGAGUCGGUCGGUCGGCGCGCUCGCUCGCUUCGUGCGGACGAGGCGCGAUGCGGCUGUGUGCGUGGGCGGCGGCGUGUGCGUGGGCCGUCGCCCCGCGCCCCGCCGCGUCCACCGAACGUAGCUUUCUGUUCGCUUAUAUAACGACAUACAUAUAUAUGCGCGUUUUAAGUUUGAAGUCACACAUCGCAUGUCAAUGACUCAAGACCUUCGGAGCUUAGUGCGCAAUGGACAGGCAACAGAAAAACUGAUUGUGUUCCUAUAUCGUACGAAUUCCUGGUAGUGUAAACCGACGUAGAAAAAGAAGACGGCGAAAUUAUCUUUCGAUAACUAAACUUAUUAUGACCGAGACUGAUUCGCGAAUACUUUUUACUAUUAAAAUAUUGCAACCUGUUAUUCAUGUUGUGAAUAUUAAUAACGAAAUUUCAUUCUUUUAUAUUUUCUGUAAUUUUUUCGACCGUAAUUUUAAUAAAAUACAAGGAAAAUCGUUA
This is a long non-coding RNA of Melitaea cinxia (Glanville fritillary), 505 nucleotides long. RefSeq lists it as uncharacterized. The record is from RefSeq and is a predicted model, not a curated record. The transcript has 2 exons. NCBI's taxonomy places the organism in Eukaryota, Metazoa, Arthropoda, Insecta, Lepidoptera, Nymphalidae.